GGGGAAUUUUGGACAAUGGGGGCAACCCUGAUCCAGCAAUGCCGCGUGUGUGAAAAAGGCCUGAGGGUUGUAAAGCACUUUAGGUGGGGAGGAAGGCUUAUUAGUUAAUAGCUAAUAGGAUUGACGUUACCCACAGAAUAAGCACCGGCUAACUCUGUGCCAGCAGCCGCGGUAAUACAGAGGGUGCGAGCGUUAAUCGGAAUUAUUGGGCGUAAAGGGCAUGUAGGUGGUUUUAAAAGUGUGAUGUGAAAGCCCCGGGCUUAACCUGGGAAUGGCGUUGAAUACUAUAAGACUAGAGUCGGACAGAGGGUAGUGGAAUUUCCGGUGUAGCGGUGAAAUGCGUAGAGAUCGGAAAGAACACCAGUGGCGAAGGCGGCUACCUGGGACCAGACUGACACUGAGGUGCGAAAGCGUGGGGAGCAAA
This 424-nucleotide ribosomal RNA is filed under the name uncultured bacterium. RNAcentral describes it as "bacterial SSU rRNA". It matches the Rfam family "Bacterial small subunit ribosomal RNA", at positions 356 to 772 of the family's 1533-position model. The record is from RNAcentral.